CUCGGGGGCGGACAUCCGGGCAAUUUCUACCGCCUGGCAACCCUCGCGGUGAAAACAAAGACCAAAAACUCGCAGAAAACGGUACUUUGGGAUGUUUGUUGAGACUCCCCUGAACAGUGUAACAAGAUUAGUCCUACGUGUGUAACAUAUAUAAAUUUGGUUGUUCAGGAUUACUUCAAAGUUGAGUUUGUGUUGUUUUCUCGAGUUUUCACCGGCUCCACCGGCGUUCCACAGCAGCGCGCACAAAGCCCAUAGAAAUACGUGGUACAGUGGCGCGCGUCUUAGCAACGUAGAACGUCUGUGACGUAGCUCCGCCCCCGAGGAUA
This 326-nucleotide small RNA is filed under the name Saccoglossus kowalevskii. RNAcentral describes it as "follistatin-like 5". The record is from RNAcentral. Lineage: Eukaryota; Metazoa; Hemichordata; Enteropneusta; Harrimaniidae.